RNAcentral lists this long non-coding RNA (1116 nucleotides) under Salmo salar (Atlantic salmon). RNAcentral describes it as "lncRNA (ENSSSAG00000099125.1)". The record is from RNAcentral. Lineage: Eukaryota; Metazoa; Chordata; Actinopteri; Salmoniformes; Salmonidae.
UAAACAGAGUGAGUACGGUAGUAAACAGAGUGAGUACGGCAGUGUACUAAACAGAGUGAGUAUGGUAGUGUACUAAACAGAGUGAGUACGGUAGUAAACAGAGUGAGUACGGUAGUGUACUAAACAGAGUGAGUAAGGUAGUGUACUAAACAGAGUGAGUACGAUAGUGUACUAAACAGAGUGAGCACGGUAGUGAACCAAACAGAUUGAGUACGGUAGUAAACAGAGUGAGUAGUGUGCGAAACAGAGUGAGUACGGUAGUGUGCUAAACAGAGUGAGUACGGUAGUAAACAGAGUGAGUACGGUAGUUAACAGAGUGAGUACGGUAGUGUACUAAACAGAGUGAGUACGGUAGUGUACUAAACAGAUUGAGUACGGUAGUGUGCUAAACAGAGUGAGUACGGUAGUGUGCUAAACAGAGUGAGUACGGUAGUGUACUAAACAGAGUGAGUACGGUAGUAAACAGAGUGAGUACGGUAGUGUGCUAAACAGAGUGAGUACGGUAGUGAACACAGUGAGUACGGUAAUGUGCUAAACAGAGUGAGUACGGUAGUGUAGUAAACAGAGUGAGUACGGUAGUGUACUAAAAAGAGUGAGUAUGGUAGUAAACAGAGUGAGUAUGGUAGUGUGCUAAACAGAGUGAGUACGGUAGUGUACUAAACAGAGUGAGUACGGUAGUAAACAGAGUGAGUACGGUAGUGAAGUAAACAGAGUGAGUACGGUAGUAAACAGAGUGAGUACGGUAGUGUCGUAAAGAGAGUGAGUACGGUAGUGUACUAAACAGAGUGAGUACGAUAGUGUACUAAACAGAGUGAGCACGGUAGUGAACCAAACAGAUUGAGUACGGUAGUAAACAGAGUGAGUAGUGUGCGAAACAGAGUGAGUACGGUAGUGUGCUAAACAGAGUGAGUACGGUAGUAAACAGAGUGAGUACGGUAGUUAACAGAGUGAGUACGGUAGUGUACUAAACAGAGUGAGUACGGUAGUGUACUAAACAGAGUGAGUACGAUAGUGUACCAAACAGAGUGAGUACGGCAGUGAACUAAACAGAGUGAUCACGGCAGUGUACUAAACAGAGUGAGUAUGGUAGUGUACUAAACAGAGUGAGUACGGUAG